GGCUCCAUCGUCUAACGGCUAGGACACAGGAUUCUCAUUCCUGCAAUCGGGGUUCGAUUCCCCGUGGAGUCACCA
This 75-nucleotide transfer RNA is filed under the name bacterium. RNAcentral describes it as "tRNA-Glu". It matches the Rfam family "tRNA". From Rfam's summary of the family: Transfer RNA (tRNA) molecules are approximately 80 nucleotides in length. The record is from RNAcentral.